RNAcentral lists this ribosomal RNA (253 nucleotides) under uncultured bacterium. RNAcentral's name for it is "partial 16S ribosomal RNA". It matches the Rfam family "Bacterial small subunit ribosomal RNA", at positions 524 to 776 of the family's 1533-position model. The record is from RNAcentral.
GUCAGAGGGUGCAAUCGUUGUUCGGAAUUACUGGGCGUAAAGCGCGUGUAGGCGGCUCGGUAAGUCGGAUGUGAAAGCCCAGGGCUCAACCCUGGAAGUGCACUCGAAACUCCCGAGCUGGAGUCCCGGAGAGGAAGGCGGAAUUCUCGGUGUAGAGGUGAAAUUCGUAGAUAUCGAGAGGAACACCUGUGGCGAAGGCGGCCUUCUGGACGGUGACUGACGCUGAGACGCGAAAGCGUGGGGAGCAAACAGG